GACGGAAGGUGCAAGCGUUGCUCGGAAUCACUGGGCGUAAAGGGUGCGUAGGCGGCCGUGCAAGUCUGGCGUGAAAGCCCCGGGCUCAGCCCGGGAAGUGCGCUCGAAACUGCGCGGCUCGAGUGCCGGAGGGGAGAGUGGAAUUCCUGGUGUAGCGGUGAAAUGCGUAGAUAUUGGGAAGAACACCUGAGGCGAAGGCGGGUUGCUGGGCUGAUACUGACGCUGAGGCGCGAAAGCCAGGGGAGCAAACGGG
Molecule: ribosomal RNA, 253 nt
Filed under: uncultured bacterium
Lineage: Bacteria
Description: partial 16S ribosomal RNA
Rfam family: Bacterial small subunit ribosomal RNA
Source: RNAcentral